Molecule: ribosomal RNA, 387 nt
Filed under: uncultured bacterium
Lineage: Bacteria
Description: bacterial SSU rRNA
Rfam family: Bacterial small subunit ribosomal RNA
Source: RNAcentral
AUUGAACGCUGGCGGCGUGCUUAACACAUGCAAGUCGAGCGGCAGCGGGCCCGCAAGGGUGCCGGCGAGCGGCGGACGGGUGAGCAAUACAUAGGAAUCUGCCUCAGAGCGGGGGAUAGCCAGGGGAAACCCUGAUUAAUACCGCAUGACGUCGAGAGACCAAAGUGGGGGACCGUAAGGCCCCACACUCUGAGAUGAGCCUAUGUCGGAUUAGCUAGUUGGCGGGGUAACGGCCCACCAAGGCGACGAUCCGUAGCUGGUCUGAGAGGACGAUCAGCCACACCGGAACUGAGACACGGUCCGGACUCCUACGGGAGGCAGCAGUGGGGAAUAUUGGACAAUGGGCGAAAGCCUGAUCCAGCGACGCCGCGUGGGUGAAGAAGGCCU